This is a long non-coding RNA of Orbicella faveolata, 2653 nucleotides long. The record is from RefSeq and is a predicted model, not a curated record. Lineage: Eukaryota; Metazoa; Cnidaria; Anthozoa; Scleractinia; Merulinidae.
UUGACAGAUGUAGUGUUUGGAACACUGUGAAUUCUAUUGAGGUACUCAAGCUACUGUCUCAUUUUAGCGCGCGUGCAAGACAUUUUAACGCUCGUGCAAGAAUAGAACGCGUAAGUCUCAUAACGAAUAGUAUUAUCAGUCAGAGUUCAAGUCAAACAAUGUAGAAAUUCCUCAAAACAGGAAGCAGACGGCUACAUAACAAGCGAAACAGGGACCUCUGAGGAUCAUUUACUAAGGGCACAAAUAGCAUAACAAACCACAGUUAAGAUCAUGAACAUGUUAUAAGUUUGCAUUUAUAAAAAAGCCAACUCAAAUUAGUUUUAUUUUACACCUGAUUGGUCGAUCGUAAACAGUAUAUGUUCUUGCCGUUUCAGCGAACUGUCCAGCAAUAGUAUAUUUAAGAUCCGUUGGUACUUCUUUGAUGAUCUAGGGAAUUUGACCACAUUGUCAUUAUCGAGAAAUCCGCUCAGAGAGAUUCCGCUACCAACUUUCAGACAUCUUUCUGGCCUUAAACUCGUGUCGUUCGUCGGUGUGCCUUCCUCUACAAUUGUCUUCAGAAAAAAUGGCAGGCUGGGAGUAUUCAGUGGGUGUGUACAUUGCUUUGAACCUCGCAGCAUUCCUUUUCAUCGUGGCAGCCUACAUCGCCAUUAUUGUCAGUCUCAAAGUCACAGCGAAGAGUCAAAGCUCAUGGUGAAUCUGACGUGAGUUCUUAUAGAAAUGAUCAAAAGAGAAUCCGCUCUGGCAAGGAGAGUGUUGGCCAUCAUCUUGCUGGGUUCCUGUAAUUAUUUUCAUUAUCCUUGCUUUUAUCGAUCGUUUCCGUGACAACGACGGAGAGGUUUGCAUGUUCGUUGCAGUCUUUGUUCAUCCGGUUAAUUCUUCUAUCAAUCCAGUGCUCUACACAUUUUCGACGCUCAGGAUAAGGAUAAAUCAUAACGCUAGCUAUUUCCCUCGCCAUAAGAGAAAUCACUACUUCGUUGCUUGUUUCCCCGCGUUCCUGUGCUUGUCUCUGCGUUGUUGCAUCCAUGCUUCCUUACAACAAAUUCACAAGCUUAGCAAUUUACCAGCUUACCUGCUCUCCGGUUACCUGCUUUAAAACAGUUUCCUUGCUUCCCUGUUUCCCUGCGGCCCUGCCUCCCCAUAAAAGAAUUCAGGUGACGCACACUUUGUUGAUAUUUUUCAUUAGGUGAAAAGUGUUUUGAAAGGCUGGUUCUGUUUCAUCCGCCAUAGAGUUUCAAGAACGCAAAAUUUGACUGAUUUUUCUAAAAGAAUCAACAAGAAAACGAAUGAGAGUGUUAAAGAAAAGAAGUUCUCGUCGAUAAUGGAAGAGAUGCCGUCGUCCAAAGAAGAAAUACAGUUCGAGAACAACGCCGAUGGAAUUAAGCAAUAGAGGACUCUUUCCUUGUAUCAUACAUAGCCUCAUCUAAACACGAGGGGGUUGGGAGAAUUCGAGACAGUUAUGCAAACCCAAACCUUUACUGCGUCUCGGGUUUGCAUAAAUUCCUCCCCCAACCCCUCACCCCGAGUGUUUCGAUUAGGCUACGGAACACGGAUAAAAAGCCAUCUAUUGCUUUUAAAGAAUAUAACCGUGUUUACAUACUCUCAUUUAAUCACACCUAUCGACCAAUGAGAGCGCGCGUACUAUCUUAAAUAUCUUAUUAAUAGGGACGGAGUUAAGGCAGAGUGUCACGCUGAAUGAAACUUAUUACCGAUUCACAUUCUAUUCUGUUGUGAAACAAAAGCUAGCUGAAUAUUUAAAACACGACCGAAAGUCAUAGUGGUGAAAUCAAAAUUAUACCGAAACUGAAUUAACCAUGACAGUAUUUCGAAGUAGAACUUGAGAACCGGCAAGCUGUGCAAUGGAUAAAUAGAACAAUCUAAUUAUUGCUACGUUGAUAAGACUGUUGAUAUGUCUUUACCUGCAUAGUGUUAAUUGACGAUCAAGAAACCAUUUAAAUGUGCACGUAGUCGCUGUAAUAUAUAUUAAAAUGUCCAUUAGUCGUUCUAGAAAGGCAGAUUUUUAAGACAGUCAAUUGCGCUUAUCAUCCUAAGGCGGUCUUGUAACUAACUAGACGAUUCUGAGAAUUCGUAUUCUGAGAGCACGAUAAAAAAUAAAAACUCCACCGGAGUCUGUCAUGACAGAAUAACAAGGUGUCCUUUUGGUUUUCCUAUAGCAUUCGCAAUUUUUAUUUUUUUCAGAAAUGGAAAAUAUUUACAGAAUUAAGGGAAAAUGAAAUUUGAGACCCGAAAUGGCCGUAGUUGCUUGCUAACUACUGUUGUCAACGUCUUAUUUUCGGGAUUUGCAGACAAUAAUGACCGAGUAUCCGGUUAGAUUAACGGGGACUGAAGUCGUUUAAUAAGACUCCAAUCAAAAAGGGAAAGCUAUCCCGGCGAUGACUUUUAUAAAACUGAACACACUUGACGUAAAAAGGAAUGACAAACGAUGAGCUUUUCAACAGAAUAUACCUAUUUUAUAUUCAUUAAACCACAAAAUAUAUGACACAAAUUGAUUUUGAAUCCCUUUAUUCCUCGUUCUUUUCAACAUGUUUUGUUAUAGUUUACUUCUACCAUUAUUUCCUUCACCUUAAUUUUAGUUUUCCCGAGACAUACUCACGGUAUAGCUUUAUACGUGAGUUGCCUUACACAACUCGAUUAU